CACUUAGUAUUCAUAAGAUGACAUAUUUUGUAAAUUAUUGCUUAGUAAGUACCAUAACAAGUUACAAGUAGUUCACUGGAAUUUUAAGGUUAAAAUGCCAUAAAAUUUUACAUUUCAUGUUCAGUGUUGAUAUUUGGGUGGCUUCAGAACAGAGUCAAAUUUACAAAAGGUCUACUGGAAUAGGACUCCGGUUAUAUUUUGUUGGUUUUUGGCAACAGGGCCAUGAUUAAGAGGGAUGGCUGGGGUCAUCUGUAUUGUGCUGCUCGAGGUGAAAUUCUUGGACUGGUGCAAGAAGGCCUAGAGUGAAAGCAUUUGCCAAGAAUGUUUUCAUUAAUCAGAAAUGAAAUUCAGAGGUUCAGAGAUGAUCAGAUAUUGUCGUAGUUCCAACCAUAACCAAUAUCGACUGGUAAUAAAUCUUUUUCAGGGGAGACUCUGUGGUGCAAUUGGUUACUGUGUUUGGCU
This 462-nucleotide non-coding RNA is filed under the name Haliaeetus albicilla (white-tailed eagle). RNAcentral's name for it is "Eukaryotic small subunit ribosomal RNA". It matches the Rfam family "Eukaryotic small subunit ribosomal RNA", at positions 636 to 1112 of the family's 1831-position model. The record is from Rfam by way of RNAcentral. Lineage: Eukaryota; Metazoa; Chordata; Aves; Accipitriformes; Accipitridae.